This is a long non-coding RNA of Clupea harengus (Atlantic herring), 435 nucleotides long. Lineage: Eukaryota; Metazoa; Chordata; Actinopteri; Clupeiformes; Clupeidae. The record is from Ensembl.
GCAUCCUUAGUCAUCAGCUCCUGCCGAGGUGGUUCUGCUGAGGUGGUUCUGCUGUAUCCUCUCCUCUAGUCAUCAGCUCCUGCUGAGGUGGUUCUGCUGUAUCCUCUCUCUAGUCAUCAGCUCCUGCUGAGGUGGUUCUGCUGUAUCCUCUCUCUAGUCAUCAGCUCCUGCUGAGGUGGUUCUGCUGUAUCCUCUCUCUAGUCAUCAGCUCCUGCCGAGGUGGUUCUGCUGUAUCCUCUCCUCUAGUCAUCAGCUCCUGCUGAGGUGGUUCUGCUGUAUCCUCUCUCUAGUCAUCAGCUCCUGCUGAGGUGGUUCUGCUGUAUCCUCUCUCUAGUCAUCAGCUCCUGCUGAGGUGGUUCUGCUGAGGUGGUUCUGCUGUAUCCUCUCUUGAAGGCCCGAUGACUGGAGGGAAACGGGGGUGAGGGUGAUGCAACA